RNAcentral lists this ribosomal RNA (253 nucleotides) under uncultured bacterium. RNAcentral's name for it is "partial 16S ribosomal RNA". It matches the Rfam family "Bacterial small subunit ribosomal RNA", at positions 524 to 776 of the family's 1533-position model. The record is from RNAcentral.
UACGGGGGGAGCAAGCGUUGUUCGGAUUUACUGGGCGUAAAGGGCUCGUAGGUGGCCAACUAAGUCAUACGUGAAAUCCCUCAGCUUAACUGGGGAACUGCGUGUGAUACUGGAUGGCUUGGAUUUGGGAGAGGGAUGCGGAAUUCCAGGUGUAGCGGUGAAAUGCGUAGAUAUCUGGAGGAACACCGGUGGCGAAGGCGGCAUCCUGGACCAAUAUUGACGCUGAGGAGCGAAAGCCAGGGGAGCAAACGGG